This is a long non-coding RNA of Heterocephalus glaber (naked mole-rat), 461 nucleotides long. Lineage: Eukaryota; Metazoa; Chordata; Mammalia; Rodentia; Bathyergidae. The record is from Ensembl.
CAUUUCCUGGGUAUUAAGAAUAAUAGAGAAAAAAAUGAGAAAGUGGAGGCAGAAGGUGAAGAGGCUGACAUGGUGUGAAGUCAAAGAAGCUGUCCUGGAGCCAGAGGUGAACAACAAAAGCCAGAAUGAAGGCCAAACAGAGCAACCCAUGUCCAAGUAGGUCUGCUGUGUCCAGGCUGCAGCUGGAGGUCAGGCCUAAUUAGGACUUGAACAACUGACCAGAAGGACCUGUGUUGCUCCCUGGGAAGACUUACUCCACAGUCCUGAGCAGCAGGAUUUAGGCUGAGAAGAUUUUGGGAAGAGGUCUCUGGUGGGCUGGAGGGAAUGGGGCCACUGGUUCUUAUUUGGUGAAGGAGCCACAUACAGGAGAGGGGAACUCGAGACCACCAUCUCUCCUGGUUUCACCUCCAACUCUCCUGGUUUGGGAACCAGAUGUUGAGAAAAUAUAGAUGUGAUGACCC